CGUGGGUAUGGCGCAGUAGGUAGCGCGCUGGUUUUGGGAACCAGAGGUCACAGGUUCGAACCCUGUUGCCC
RNAcentral lists this transfer RNA (71 nucleotides) under Streptomyces phage Rowa. Its description in RNAcentral is "tRNA-Pro". It matches the Rfam family "tRNA". From Rfam's summary of the family: Transfer RNA (tRNA) molecules are approximately 80 nucleotides in length. Their secondary structure includes four short double-helical elements and three loops (D, anti-codon, and T loops). The record is from RNAcentral. Lineage: Duplodnaviria; Heunggongvirae; Uroviricota; Caudoviricetes.